CACCCCGUCCGUUCACCAAUCCGACUGUCGCUUGCUGAAGGCGUUUGGGAGGGAUGGGCGAGUGGCCAACGGCUGUUCGGGGAGUCACGUGGUCAGUUGCCGGCGUCGGGCGGUUGCUGCAGCAACGGUGACGGGAAGCGGCGGUUGCAGAGAGCGAGUAGUAUCCCGAUUCUCGGAGCUCAGCAUCUAAAUGGAAUCUAAAAUGGCUGCUGGGAAUCAUGAUGCCAUUUCUUCAGAAGAGCUUCGGAGGAGACUUUAUCAAACAUUCAAAAAUCGGGGUGUCUUAGAUUCUUUAAAGUCGCAGCUUCGAAAUCAGCUUGUCCAUGAAUUAACGCAUCCUGGUUUAAAUGGACUGUUAUCCGUGAAUGGUCAUCGGCAUCAGAAUCCUUCCACAGAAGAAAGUUCUCUGUUGGUUAUGGCUGCAAAUAGCAUUGUUGCAGACCAUUUAGGAAAGAUUGGAUACGAGUACUCACUGUCUGUUUUUUACCCAGAAUGUGGCUUAGAAAAAG
This is a long non-coding RNA of Rhincodon typus (whale shark), 509 nucleotides long. RefSeq lists it as uncharacterized. NCBI's taxonomy places the organism in Eukaryota, Metazoa, Chordata, Chondrichthyes, Orectolobiformes, Rhincodontidae. The record is from RefSeq and is a predicted model, not a curated record. The transcript is spliced from 3 exons.